AGUGAACGCUGGCGGUAGGCCUAACACAUGCAAGUCGAACGGCAGCACAGUAAGAGCUUGCUCUUACGGGUGCGAGUGGCGGACGGGUGAGGAAUACAUCGGAAUCUACUUUUUCGUGGGGGAUAACGUAGGGAAACUUACGCUAAUACCGCAUACGACCUACGGGUGAAAGCAGGGGAUCUUCGGACCUUGCGCGAUUGAAUGAGCCGAUGUCGGAUUAGCUAGUUGGCGGGGUAAAGGCCCACCAAGGCGAAGAUCCGUAGCUGGUCUGAGAGGAUGAUCAGCCACACUGGAACUGAGACACGGUCCAGACUCCUACGGGAGGCAGCAGUGGGGAAUAUUGGACAAUGGGCGCAAGCCUGAUCCAGCCAUACCGCGUGGGUGAAGAAGGCCUUCGGGUUGUAAAGCCCUUUUGUUGGGAAAGAAAAGCAGCAGGUUAAUACCCCGCUGUUCUGACGGUACCCAAAGAAUAAGCACCGGCUAACUUCGUG
This 491-nucleotide ribosomal RNA is filed under the name uncultured bacterium. RNAcentral's name for it is "partial 16S ribosomal RNA". It matches the Rfam family "Bacterial small subunit ribosomal RNA", at positions 29 to 507 of the family's 1533-position model. The record is from RNAcentral.